GAUGAACGCUAGCUACAGGCUUAACACAUGCAAGUCGAGGGGUAACGAGAGGAAAGCUUGCUUUCCUUGUCGACGACCGGCGCACGGGUGAGUAACGCGUAUCCAACCUGCCCCCAACUAGGGAAUAACCUUGCGAAAGUAAGACUAAUACCCUAUAAUUUCCUCAGAUGUCAUCUGACGAGGAAUAAAGAUUUAUCGGUUGUGGAUGGGGAUGCGUCUGAUUAGCUUGUUGGCGGGGUAUCGGCCCACCAAGGCAACGAUCAGUAGGGGUUCUGAGAGGAAGGUCCCCCACAUUAGAACUGAGACACGGUCCAAACUCCUACGGGAGGCAGCAGUGAGGAAUAUUGGUCAAUGGGCGGAAGCCUGAACCAGCCAAGUAGCGUGCAGGAUGACGGCCCUAUGGGUUGUAAACUGCUUUUAUACAGGAAUAAAGUUAGCCACGUGUGGUUAUUUGUAGGUACUGUAUGAAUAAGGACCGGCUAAUUCCGUGCCAGCAGCCGCGGUAA
This 506-nucleotide ribosomal RNA is filed under the name uncultured bacterium. RNAcentral describes it as "partial 16S ribosomal RNA". It matches the Rfam family "Bacterial small subunit ribosomal RNA", at positions 28 to 523 of the family's 1533-position model. The record is from RNAcentral.